This 253-nucleotide ribosomal RNA is filed under the name uncultured bacterium. RNAcentral describes it as "partial 16S ribosomal RNA". It matches the Rfam family "Bacterial small subunit ribosomal RNA", at positions 524 to 776 of the family's 1533-position model. The record is from RNAcentral.
UACGAGGGGGGCAAAUGUUGUUCGGAAUCACUGGGCGUAAAGGGAGCGUAGGCGGGUUUUUAAGUUAGGUGUUUAAUCCCGGGGCCCAACCCCGGACCGGCACUUAAAACUGGGAAUCUUGAAUAGUGGAGAGGUCAGUGGAAUUGGGGGUGUAGCGGUGGAAUGCGUAGAGAUCCCCAAGAACACCAGUUGCGAAGGCGGCUGACUGGACACAUAUUGACGCUGAGGCUCGAAAGCAUGGGGAGCAAACAGG